GAAGGGUGCAAGCGUUACUCGGAAUUACUGGGCGUAAAGCGUGCGUAGGCGGUUCGUUAAGUCCGAUGUGAAAGCCCUGGGCUCAACCUGGGAACUGCAUUGGAAACUGGCGGGCUGGAGUGCGGUAGAGGGUGGCGGAAUUCCCGGUGUAGCAGUGAAAUGCGUAGAUAUCGGGAGGAACACCCGUGGCGAAGGCGGCCACCUGGACCAGCACUGACGCUGAGGCACGAAAGCGUGGGGAGCAAACAGGAUUAGAUACCCUGGUAGUCCACGCCCUAAACGAUGCGAACUGGAUGUUGGGUGCAACUUGGCACUCAGUAUCGAAGCUAACGCGUUAAGUUCGCCGCCUGGGAAGUACGGUCGCAAGACUG
Molecule: ribosomal RNA, 371 nt
Filed under: uncultured Gammaproteobacteria bacterium
Lineage: Bacteria; Pseudomonadati; Pseudomonadota; Gammaproteobacteria
Description: bacterial SSU rRNA
Rfam family: Bacterial small subunit ribosomal RNA
Source: RNAcentral